This 244-nucleotide unclassified non-coding RNA is filed under the name uncultured fungus. RNAcentral describes it as "sequence contains ITS2". The stretch from base 1 to 52 matches the Rfam family "5.8S ribosomal RNA", at positions 103 to 154 of the family's 154-position model. The record is from RNAcentral. Lineage: Eukaryota; Fungi.
AACGCACAUUGCGCCCCUUGGUAUUCCGAGGGGCAUGCCUGUUCGAGCGUCAUUACAACCCUCAAGCAUUGCUUGGUAUUGGGCUCCGCUGCUUACCCAGCGGGCCUUGAAAUCAGUGGCGGUGCCGUCGAGGCCCUGAGCGUAGUAAAUAUCCUCGCUUUAGGGACUCGGUGGACGCUGGCCAUCAACCCCCCAACUUUCUAAGUUUGACCUCGGAUCAGGUAGGGAUACCCGCUGAACUUAA